AUGUUUGAUGAAGCAAAUCCAAUAAUGGAGUGGCUGAAUGAGGAUGAAGAGGAUCCAAUUGUGGAUGUAGCUGAUGCAGCCAGUGCUGUUUUUGAGAAAAUAAGGCGUCUCAACUCAAGCAGGAAGGAUUCUUAUGUUGGUACAAAAGGUAAUAAGAAGAAAAGAAAGAGGAAUCAUGAUGAGGAGAAUGAGUAUGUCGAAACUGAGAGUGAGGAUGACGAUGAAGAGAAUGAGUAUGUUGAUAAUGAGAGUGAGGAUGAUGAUGGGGUGAGUGAGGAUGAUGAGGAUGAUCAACAAGAUCAGCAAGAGACACAAAUGCAAGUGGAAGAAGAGACACAAGUACAAGCUGAAAAGGAGACAGCAGCAAGUGUUGGCAAUUUGGAGGCUCGUAGAUCUGGACGACUAGUUAGGAAGAAGACCAAGGAAGUGAACAGCCUCUACUCGUAG
This 447-nucleotide ribosomal RNA is filed under the name Triticum aestivum (bread wheat). Its description in RNAcentral is "partial small subunit ribosomal RNA". Lineage: Eukaryota; Viridiplantae; Streptophyta; Magnoliopsida; Poales; Poaceae. The record is from RNAcentral.